AUGAAUCCACUCAAAUGUGCUUUCGGUGUAUCGGCUGGUAAGUUCUUAGGUUUUAUAAUUCAUGAGCAUGGCAUAGAGAUUGAUCCUAAGAAGGUAGAGGCAAUCAGAAAAUUGGAGGAGCCCACAUGUAAAAGGGAUGUGCAGAAAUUGUUAGGAAAAAUUAAUUACUUGAGACGAUUCAUAUCUAACCUUGCGGGAAAAAUUGAAUCGUUUGUUCCUUUACUUCGGUUAAAACAUGAAGCCGAAUUCACUUGGGGGGCAGAACAGCGAGAGGCUUUUAAUAAUAUAAAACAGUAUUUGUCAAGUCCUCCGGUGCUUCGAGCACCCAAGUCUGGUGUGCCGUUCAGGUUAUACAUUGCCGCACAAGACAAGGUGAUCGGCGCAGUUUUAGCACAAGAGAACGGCGGGAAGGAGUACAUCAUUGCAUACUUGAGCCGCCGCUUGCUUGACGCUGAGAGUCGGUACGUGUUUAUUGAAAAAUUAUGUUUAUCUUCAUAUUAUGCAUGUACAAAAUUUCAGCCAUAUUUACUUUAUAGUACAUGUGUAGUAGCUUGCCAAGCGGACGUGAUUAAAUAUAUGCUGCAGCAGCCGAUUCUUAGUGGUGGGAUUGGAAAAUGGGCUUAUGCACUAAUAGAAUAUGACUUGGCAUAUGAAUCGUUGCGUGCUAUGAAAGGUCAAGUCAUCGCUGAUUUUAUUGUUGAUCAUAGGAUUAAGGAUGAAAAAGAUAUUAAUUAUGUUAGUGUGUGCCCAUGA
Molecule: ribosomal RNA, 753 nt
Filed under: Triticum aestivum (bread wheat)
Lineage: Eukaryota; Viridiplantae; Streptophyta; Magnoliopsida; Poales; Poaceae
Description: partial small subunit ribosomal RNA
Source: RNAcentral